Molecule: ribosomal RNA, 466 nt
Filed under: uncultured bacterium
Lineage: Bacteria
Description: partial 16S ribosomal RNA
Rfam family: Bacterial small subunit ribosomal RNA
Source: RNAcentral
GACGAACGCUGGCGGCGUGCUUAACACAUGCAAGUCGAACGGAAAGGCCCAGCUUGCUGGGUACUCGAGUGGCGAACGGGUGAGUAACACGUGGGUGAUCUGCCCUGUACUCUGGGAUAAGCCUGGGAAACUGGGUCUAAUACCGGAUAUGACCAACUGUCGCACGGUGGUUGGUGGAGAGCUUUUGCGGUGUGGGAUGGGCCCGCGGCCUAUCAGCUUGUUGGUGGGGUAAUGGCCUACCAAGGCGACGACGGGUAGCCGACCUGAGAGGGUGAUCGGCCACACUGGGACUGAGACACGGCCCAGACUCCUACGGGAGGCAGCAGUGGGGAAUAUUGCACAAUGGGCGCAAGCCUGAUGCAGCGACGCCGCGUGAGGGAUGACGGCCUUCGGGUUGUAAACCUCUUUCGCCAGGGACGAAGUGUGAGUGACGGUACCUGGAGAAGAAGCACCGGCCAACUACGUG